GCCGAAGUGGCGGAACAGGCAGACGCGCACGACUCAAAAUCGUGAGGGGAAACCCGUGUGGGUUCGAUUCCCACCUUCGGCA
This 82-nucleotide transfer RNA is filed under the name Caldilinea sp. Its description in RNAcentral is "tRNA-Leu". It matches the Rfam family "tRNA". From Rfam's summary of the family: Transfer RNA (tRNA) molecules are approximately 80 nucleotides in length. Their secondary structure includes four short double-helical elements and three loops (D, anti-codon, and T loops). Further hydrogen bonds mediate the characteristic L-shaped molecular structure. tRNAs have two regions of fundamental functional importance: the anti-codon, which is responsible for specific mRNA codon recognition, and the 3' end, to which the tRNAs corresponding amino acid is attached (by aminoacyl-tRNA synthetases). tRNAs cope with the degeneracy of the genetic code in two manners: having more than one tRNA (with a specific anti-codon) for a particular amino acid; and 'wobble' base-pairing, i.e. permitting non-standard base-pairing at the 3rd anti-codon position. The record is from RNAcentral. Lineage: Bacteria; Bacillati; Chloroflexota; Caldilineae; Caldilineales; Caldilineaceae. RNAcentral also lists the same sequence under 2 other names.